RNAcentral lists this transfer RNA (73 nucleotides) under Homo sapiens (human). It matches the Rfam family "tRNA". From Rfam's summary of the family: Transfer RNA (tRNA) molecules are approximately 80 nucleotides in length. Their secondary structure includes four short double-helical elements and three loops (D, anti-codon, and T loops). Lineage: Eukaryota; Metazoa; Chordata; Mammalia; Primates; Hominidae. The record is from Rfam by way of RNAcentral.
GCCUGGAUAGCUCAGUUGGUAGAACAUCAGACUUUUAAUCUGACGAUGCAGGGUUCAAGUCCCUGUUCAGGCG